ACUCCUACGGGAGGCAGCAGUGGGGAAUAUUGCACAAUGGGCGCAAGCCUGAUGCAGCAACGCCGCGUGAGCGAUGAAGGCCUUCGGGUCGUAAAGCUCUGUCCUCAAGGAAGAAUAAAUGACGGUACUUGAGGAGGAAGCCCGGCUAACUACGUGCCAGCAGCCGCGGUAAUACGUAGGGGGCAAGCGUUAUCCGGAAUCACUGGGGCGUAAAGGGUGCGUAGGCGGUUUUCAAGUCAGAAGUGAAAGGCUAUGGCUCAACCAUAGUAAGCUUUUGAAACUGUUAAACUUGAGUGCAGGAGAGGAAAGUGGAAUUCCUAGUGUAGAGGUGAAAUUCGUAGAUAUUAGGAGGAACACCAGUGGCGAAGGCGACUUUCUGGACUGUAACUGACGCUGAGGCACGAAAGCGUGGGAGCGAACAGGAUUAGAUACCCUGGUAGCACAGAG
This 447-nucleotide ribosomal RNA is filed under the name uncultured bacterium. RNAcentral's name for it is "bacterial SSU rRNA". It matches the Rfam family "Bacterial small subunit ribosomal RNA", at positions 335 to 799 of the family's 1533-position model. The record is from RNAcentral.